This 492-nucleotide ribosomal RNA is filed under the name uncultured bacterium. RNAcentral describes it as "partial 16S ribosomal RNA". It matches the Rfam family "Bacterial small subunit ribosomal RNA", at positions 28 to 507 of the family's 1533-position model. The record is from RNAcentral.
GAUGAACGCUCGCUACAGGCUUAACACAUGCAAGUCGAGGGGAAACGACAUCGAAAGCUUGCUUUUGAUGGGCGUCGACCGGCGCACGGGUGAGUAACGCGUAUCCAACCUGCCCACCACUUGGGGAUAACCUUGCGAAAGUAAGACUAAUACCCGAUGAUAUCUCUAUAAGACAUCUGAAAGGGAUUAAAGAUUUAUCGGUGAUGGAUGGGGAUGCGUCUGAUUAGCUUGUUGGCGGGGUAACGGCCCACCAAGGCGACGAUCAGUAGGGGUUCUGAGAGGAAGGUCCCCCACAUUGGAACUGAGACACGGUCCAAACUCCUACGGGAGGCAGCAGUGAGGAAUAGUGGUCAAUGGGCGAGAGCCUGAACCAGCCAAGUAGCGUGCAGGAUGACGGCCCUAUGGGUUGUAAACUGCUUUUAUAAGGGAAUAAAGUGAGUCUCGGGAGACUUUUUGCAUGUACCUUAUGAAUAAGGACCGGCUAAUUCCGUG